AAUUCGCCCUUUUAGCAUGGAAUAAUGGAAUAGGAUCACGAUCUUAUUUUGUUGGUUUCUAGGAUCGAGAUAAUGAUUAAUAGGGAUAGUUGGGGGCAUUAAUAUUUAAUUGUCAGAGGUGAAAUUCUUGGAUUUAUGAAAGAUUAACUUCUGCGAAAGCAUUUGCCAAGGAUGUUUUCGUUAAUCAAGAACGAAAGUUAGGGGAUCGAAGACGAUCAGAUACCGUCGUAGUCUUAACCAUAAACUAUGCCGACUAGGGAUUGGUGGGCGAUUAUUAUAUGUCCCCAUCAGCACCUUAUGAGAAAUCAAAGUUUUUGGGUUCCGGGGGGAGUAUGGUCGCAAGGCUGAAACUUAAAGGAAUUGACGGAAGGGCACCACCAGGAGUGGAGCCUGCGGCUUAAUUUGACUCAACACGGGAAAACUCACCAGGUCCGGACAUAGUAAGGAUUGACAGAUUGAGAGCUCUUUCUUGAUUCUAUGGGUGGUGGUGCAUAGCCGUUCUUAGUUGGUGGAGUGAUUUGUCUGGUUAAUUCAGUUAACGAACGAGACCUUAACCUACUAAAUAGUCACGUCAUUUCCGAAUGACGGCGGACUUCUUAGAGGGACUAUCGGAUUUAAACCGAUGGAAGUUUGAGGCAAUAACAGGUCUGUGAUGCCCUUAGAUGUUCUGGGCCGCGCGCGCGCUACACUGACGAAGUCAGCGAGUAUCUCCCUUCACCGGAAGGUGUGGGUAAUCUUGUGAAACUUCGUCGUGCUGGGGAUAGGGCAUUGCAAUAAGGGCGAAUU
Molecule: ribosomal RNA, 786 nt
Filed under: uncultured eukaryote
Lineage: Eukaryota
Description: SSU rRNA
Rfam family: Eukaryotic small subunit ribosomal RNA
Source: RNAcentral